This is a non-coding RNA of Lepisosteus oculatus (spotted gar), 2064 nucleotides long. The record is from RefSeq and is a predicted model, not a curated record. Lineage: Eukaryota; Metazoa; Chordata; Actinopteri; Semionotiformes; Lepisosteidae.
UGGCGGAGGGGUUAUACUUAACAUGGCGGCGCCCGUGGAGUAGUAUGGGAAGGAGAUCGGUCAUUCACUUAAACAUUUAUAUUUAAUUCUAGUUUCAUUGAAGACGUUGAAUUUUUAGUACCUGAAGCAGCGUCGUGAUAGUACAAUGUAUUUUAGAUAUUAUAAUAGACAUCAGAAAAACUUUACUGUAUAAUAUUUCUGAAUAGGUUCCGUUACGUGCUUUGCGAAGACCCUAGCUCGUCUCUACCACGCGUCCACCAUGAGCUGCACACGCUGUCUGCCGCGGCUGCUGCUGGCCUGCGCCAGGGCGACUGCUCUGAGCGCGGCUCCGCAGGGAGCCUUCCUGAGGAGACAGGCAAGGCUCACGCAGGGACUGAGGAACGUCCACGCCAGCAGCAGAAGGACGGAGAACAAACCCACAGCUGCCGCGCACCAAGGAGGGCAAGGAGAUGGAAAAUCGGAGGAUGGGCCGGGUCAGUCCUUGGUCACCCACGAGCACCUGUUCGAGCGGGCGGCUCGGGACUCGAGGACCAAAGCCACGUUCAACCGCGUGCUGGACGUCUUUGUGAAGAGGGACAUCCGCCGGCGAGGCCACGUGGAGUUCAUCUAUGCCGCCCUGAAGAAGAUGCCCGAGUUCGGAGUGGAGCGAGACCUCUCCGUUUACAACAGGCUGCUGGACAUUUUCCCCAAGGAGGUGUUCGUGCCUCGCAACUUCAUCCAGCGCAUGUUCAACCACUACCCACGGCAGCAGGAGUGCGCCAUUCAGAUUCUGGAAGAGAUGGAGAACCAUGGAAUCAUGCCCAACAUAGAAACCAAAGUACUCCUAGUCCAGAUUUUCGGGGAGAAGAGCCACCCCAUGCGCAAGUACCAGCGACUGCUGUACUGGUUCCCUAAAUUCAAGCACGUGAACCCCUACCCUGUCCCCCAUGAGCUCCCGCAGGACCCCCUGGACCUUGCUCGGCUCAGCCUGAAGCGGAUCGCCAACAGCCUGGAUGCCAAGGUCACCGUCUACCAGAUGCCCUCAACAGACAUCUCAGAAAUGGGAGAGCAGGUGUCUGAGCCCUUUGUCGUAGGAAUUCAGAGCCCCGAACAGCGCCUCCUCUUGGCCGAGCACAACCCCAGCCGACCAGUGUUUGUGGAAGGACCCUUCCCCCUGUGGUUAAGAAAGACGUGCGUCUAUUACUACAUUCUUCGGGCUGAUCCUGUCCCACCAGAAGAGAAGGUCGAGAAGCCCAUUGACUUGGAACGGAGCUUUUUUUACCCACUGCAUCUGGACCUGGACUUGGAACGGGACCUGGGCGAUGAUGACAGCUUUGACGUGGAUGAAGGUAAAUGGCCCCAUGACGAAAACAACCAUACCUUCUCCCUCCCUCCACCCCAAGAUCUGACAUCAGGUCAUUAAUCUCUCUAAGCAUAACAUCAGAGAAAGUCAGAGCAGUCUAAGUCAGAUGCACAUUUAAACAGAGUAGACAGGGUAGGUAGUUCUCAUAUCUGAGCUACAUCGAUUCACUGGACCAGAACUUAUCCUGAUUUCCUCGGUGUUGAAAGGACAAGAGAGCAACUGAGCACCACCCAUCCCAAAGCAACCCGACACCUAGUUGCCUCCCAAUUAUGCAGCUGGAGGCACAACAGCAUGGCCUCGAACCCACAACCAGACUUAUGACUGCUCUACCCUUGAAAUAAAGUGGAGAAAGUGAUAAUGCAGUGCCUCUUAAUUGUAUUUGGGAGAGAAAAAAAGAUGUGCUUGUAUAUACUGUCUAGCUGCCCUGCAAGUCCAGUACUCCCAUAGUAGCAUUGUGACUGUGGCAUUCCACAAGCACUAUUCUGUUCACAGCUGCUUCCCAGCUGCUGUAUUCCAGCUUGCAUUUACUUCAGCAGAUUUCUUGGUAUAAAGCCACCUGACAUUCCGAAACAGUGCAGCAGUAUUCCAGCAGCAUCCUGGUCCUGGGGACCCUCACACCUGCUGGAUUUCAUUGCACUGGAGGAAGGAACUGUGUUUGCCAUGUGUAUGACCGGCUUGGGGGACCAGGCCACCCUGGCCAAGUGGAUCACCGGCCUCCAGGA